GACGAACGCUGGCGGCGUGCCUAACACAUGCAAGUCGAGCGGGAACCUCAGGAGGGGUAACCCUUCCGAGGGGAGAGCGGCGAACGGGUGAGUAACACGUGGGCAACCUGCCCCGGACACCGGGAUAACCCAGGGAAACCUGAGCUAAUACCGGAUACUCCGGCGCGAUCGCAUGGUCGCGCCGGGAAAGCUCCGACGGUCCGGGAUGGGCCCGCGGCCUAUCAGCUUGUUGGUGGGGUAACGGCCCACCAAGGCGACGACGGGUAGCUGGUCUGAGAGGACGGCCAGCCACACUGGGACUGAGACACGGCCCAGACUCCUACGGGAGGCAGCAGUGGGGGAUCUUGCGCUAAUGCGCGAAAGCGUGACGCAGCGACGCCGCGUGGGGAUGAAGGCCUUCGGGUUGUAAACCCCUUUCGGCAGGGACGAAGGGAAACUGACGGUACCUGCAGAAGAAGUCCCGGCUAACUACGUGC
This 476-nucleotide ribosomal RNA is filed under the name uncultured bacterium. Its description in RNAcentral is "bacterial SSU rRNA". It matches the Rfam family "Bacterial small subunit ribosomal RNA", at positions 28 to 508 of the family's 1533-position model. The record is from RNAcentral.